This 341-nucleotide long non-coding RNA is filed under the name Apteryx owenii (little spotted kiwi). RNAcentral describes it as "lncRNA (ENSAOWG00000007067.1)". Lineage: Eukaryota; Metazoa; Chordata; Aves; Apterygiformes; Apterygidae. The record is from RNAcentral.
UAUCUCCCUCUCCUCUCCCUCUUCUCGCCCCGCAGUGCUGGCCCUGCAGGCCCGCAGGCGGCGGCCCAAGCAGCCCGCGGCGGCCGGCAGGAGGGACAAGCACCCGCCGCCGCACAAAAAAAGCCAAGCUGAAUGUAUUGUUGAGGGACUCAAGCUUCUGGUUUCCAUCCUGAGAACGCCUGCAACACCGGUUUCCUUCCUGUCGUGUUUCAUCCUUCCUGUAUCCCAAGUUCCGCCAUGUCCUCCUCCUCAUGAAGAUUCAUGAAUUGAUGUUUUAAAAUGGUAGUACUAGAGCUGCUAUUUUUCAUGAAUAAAAUAUCUCCCUGAGUAAGUCCUUAACA